GGACGGGUGAGUACGCGUGAGUGACCUGCCCCGAAGAGGGGGAUAACCCUGGGAAACUGGGCUAAUACCCCAUGUGCUUCGUGGGGUUAGAGGACCACGAAGUAAAGGGUGUGGUUACCGAAAGGCGCCACGCCGCUUCGGGGGGGGCCCGCGGCCCAUCAGGUAGUUGGGGGGUAAUGGCCUACCAAGCCUAUGACGGGUAGCCGGCCUGAGAGGGUGUCCGGCACACGGGGACUGAGACACGGCCCCGACUCCUACGGGAGGCAGCAGUGGGGAAUCUUGGCAAUGGGCGAAAGCCUGACCCAGCGACGCCGCGUGGGGGAAGAAGCCCUGCGGGGUGUAACCCCUUUUCGGGGGGAAGAGGAAGGACAGUACCCCCGGAAUAAGGGCCGGCUAACACGUGCCAGCAGCCGCGGUAAAACGUAGGGCCCGAGCGUUACCCGGAUUCACUGGGCUAAAGCGCACGUAGGCGGCUCAGUAAGUCGGGCGUGAAAUCUCCCGGCUCAACCGGGGGGGCCGUCCGAUACUGCUGGGCUUGAGGGCGGGAGAGGGAGGUGGAAUUCCCGGUGAGCGGUGAAAUGCGUAGAUAUCGGGAGGAACGCCAGUGGGGAAGCCGGCCUCCUGCCCGUCCCUGACGCUGAGGUGCGAAAGCCAGGGGAGCGAAAGGGAUUAGAUACCCCUGUGUC
This 686-nucleotide ribosomal RNA is filed under the name uncultured Chloroflexales bacterium. Its description in RNAcentral is "partial 16S ribosomal RNA". It matches the Rfam family "Bacterial small subunit ribosomal RNA", at positions 100 to 795 of the family's 1533-position model. The record is from RNAcentral. Lineage: Bacteria; Bacillati; Chloroflexota; Chloroflexia; Chloroflexales.